UACGUAGGUGGCGAGCGUUUGUCCGGAUUUACUGGGCGUAAAGAGCGCGCAGGCGGUCGUUCAAGUCGCGUGUGAAAGCCCCCCGGCUCAACUGGGGAGGGUCACGCGAUACUGAUCGACUCGAAGGCAGGAGAGGGAAGUGGAAUUCCCGGUGUAGUGGUGAAAUGCGUAGAUAUCGGGAGGAACACCAAAGGCGAAGGCAGUGUCCUGGGGGAGUACCUGACGCUCAGGUGCGAAAGCCAGGGGAGCGAACGGG
RNAcentral lists this ribosomal RNA (256 nucleotides) under uncultured bacterium. RNAcentral's name for it is "partial 16S ribosomal RNA". It matches the Rfam family "Bacterial small subunit ribosomal RNA", at positions 524 to 776 of the family's 1533-position model. The record is from RNAcentral.